RNAcentral lists this non-coding RNA (21 nucleotides) under Arabidopsis thaliana (thale cress). Lineage: Eukaryota; Viridiplantae; Streptophyta; Magnoliopsida; Brassicales; Brassicaceae. The record is from RNAcentral.
UAAAAUCGAAAUAAAGAUGUA